This 414-nucleotide ribosomal RNA is filed under the name uncultured bacterium. Its description in RNAcentral is "partial 16S ribosomal RNA". It matches the Rfam family "Bacterial small subunit ribosomal RNA", at positions 28 to 439 of the family's 1533-position model. The record is from RNAcentral.
GAUUAACGCUAGCGGCAGGCCUAAUACAUGCAAGUCGAACGGCAGCGGGUGUAGCAAUACAUGCCGGCGAGUGGCGCACGGGUGCGUAACACGUAUGCAAUCUACCUUUAACCGGGGAAUAACUCUUCGAAAGAAGAGCUAAUACCGCAUAACACCACGAGAGGACAUCCUUUUGUGGUCAAACCUCCGGGGGUUAAAGAUGAGCAUGCGCCCGAUUAGUUAGUUGGCGAGGAACGGCUCACCAAGACUACGAUCGGUAGGGGUUCUGAGAGGAAGAUCCCCCACACUGGUACUGAGACACGGACCAGACUCCUACGGGAGGCAGCAGUAAGGAAUAUUGGACAAUGGGCGCAAGCCUGAUCCAGCCAUGCCGCGUGCAGGAUGAAGGUGCUAUGCACUGUAAACUGUCUUUUA